CAGGAGUAGCAUGUUAGUAACGUGAAAUAAUGUACAUGAUGUUCGGAUGAAUACCAGCAAGAAUAAAACCUAGCAGACACAGUGAAGAUACAUUUGAAAGGCAGCCAGGGUAAACACUUCAGCACCUACUCACCCAUGGACUGGAAAAUGGUUGUUUGCUAAAGAAAUGGAAUACUAUUGUUUCUACAAUUAAAGAAGGCAAUGAAGCUAGUUAGUAUAAAUUCAACUUACCUGAUAGGCGAAUCGAUCGACGACGGUGUUAUAGUUGUGGUACAUUUGUGGAG
This is a long non-coding RNA of Daphnia carinata, 284 nucleotides long. RefSeq lists it as uncharacterized. Lineage: Eukaryota; Metazoa; Arthropoda; Branchiopoda; Diplostraca; Daphniidae. The transcript has 3 exons. The record is from RefSeq and is a predicted model, not a curated record.